GUGGGAAAGCAGGUGGGAGCAGUGGGGCAGUGCUGGCCCAGCUGGGGGCUGCUGGCACGCAGGGAAUGUGCUGCUUCACCAGCAGCCUGGCUGCUCUGGCAGGGGAUAAAUGGGACAACUGGGUCAGCUCAGCUCAGCGCCGGCAGAUGCUCAAGAGUUGCCAUGUGUGGAGGAAACCCAUGUGGGGCACGCAGACAGAGUAAGGAGCACACAGCUGGGAGGAGCUGGAGCACAGGCAUGGCGGCAGCACCCAGGCCCUCUUGGACUCAUGGCAGCACCCAAGGCACGGGGGGAAGGCACGCAGCACCUCGUUAUCAGCCUGCCAGGGCCGAACAGGACGGCUGCAGAGCCACAGGCUGCAAAGCGACCUAAUGUGGGAACGCGCAGCAAGUCCAUGACCAACAUGCUGCUGUGGUGCUGCAGCUCAGCACAUCUGGACAGCUGCCUCAUGCCUGGAGGUUUGCAAGAAUGGGAGAAAUUCUACUUACGUGGGUGCCAGUGGCGAGCAUUCCCCCAAACCCAGCAGGAGGGGCUGGAAGGGCAGACUGAAGGAUCACCAUAA
This 562-nucleotide long non-coding RNA is filed under the name Numida meleagris (helmeted guineafowl). RNAcentral describes it as "lncRNA (ENSNMEG00000005847.1)". Lineage: Eukaryota; Metazoa; Chordata; Aves; Galliformes; Numididae. The record is from RNAcentral.